RNAcentral lists this ribosomal RNA (307 nucleotides) under uncultured Parcubacteria group bacterium. RNAcentral's name for it is "bacterial SSU rRNA". It matches the Rfam family "Bacterial small subunit ribosomal RNA", at positions 28 to 351 of the family's 1533-position model. The record is from RNAcentral.
GAUGAAUGCUGGCGGCGUGCCUAAGGCAUGCAAGUCGAACGAAUCAUUGCAACAGGUGAUGGUUAGUGGCAAACGGGUGCGUAACACAUUGGUAUCUGCCUCGUAGUCGGGCAUAACGUUCCGAAAGGGACGCUAAUUCCACGAUGGUCUCGCAAGAGUAAAGUCGCAAGACGCUACGAGAGGAGCCUAUGGCCUAUCAGCUAGUUGGUGAGGUAAUGGCUCACCAAGGCUAUGACGGGUAGGGGGUGUGAGAGCACGACCCCCCUCACUGGGACUGAGACACUGCCCAGACACCUACGGGUGGCAG